UCAACCAUCAAGCUAAGCUUGUCGUUGGACCCUUUGUCGCCUGGCGACAGGUCCGAAAGAUAAUGAACGGUGUCAUGGCGACCCUAUAUGCAACGAGCUUGUAAAUAAGCACGCAUUUGGUGGUCGUCUGGCCCGAUCGUCACCUCUUAUUUUUUCUCCAGG
RNAcentral lists this unclassified non-coding RNA (162 nucleotides) under uncultured Chaetothyriales. Its description in RNAcentral is "sequence contains ITS2". Lineage: Eukaryota; Fungi; Ascomycota; Eurotiomycetes; Chaetothyriales. The record is from RNAcentral.